UGAACCAUAAAUUAACUAAAAGGGAAUUGCUUCCACAACGAAACAACUAAACUAAAAAAAUGAUAAGCUUUAUCACUUUACAAUCACUAGACAUAGGGAAAUCUCAAAAGCUACUGAAAACACAUGCUUAGCUUUGACUACACUGAUAAUACACUUAACAAUAUUCAUGCUUGAAUCCAAGCUUAAACUCAAUUAUAGCCUAAAAACUUCACACCCAUUAACUUUUCCUCCAUACCAACAGUAGCGAGAUCUAGAUAAUUAGCACAAUUCACUUAAAUCUAAAAAUCAACACCCAAACUCUUAAAGAGUAUAAGUUCAUUUCUACAACACAUCAAUAACGUAAGAUAACUAAGCUAACAUGUACAACACUGGCCUAUUACAGAACAUUUAAAGAAGAUGAAUAAGCAAAUGAAAAGGGGAUCCAAAAUAACUUGUAUUCAAUCAGGCCUCAAUUGGAAACACAUGUUCUUAGCUACUUGUUGACAUUGAUUUGAAGUAAUACCUCGUAGUGAACAAGAAAAAAAUAAAAGAGGUGAGGAAUCAGCACUAAGCAGUAGCAUAAAUCAGCUUAAACCUAGCAAUGAAACAGUGCCAAAACUCCAGCAAAUUAGGCUUCAAAUUUUCAAAUUAAUUCUGAUGCUUUAGAACCCCAAAUGCAAUAUUCCUAUUGAACCCUUUAAAUCUGACUCUUCAACAAGGAAAUUAAUCUUGAAAUCAAGCAAAAAACUCAAACCAUUUUCAGUAUUUUUCUUGAAAGAGAAAAAAAGAACUCCAGCUGUUUUUAAUUUUUCCAGAAUUUUAUCUCUAAUUUUUCUGCCUUGAACCUUAAGUAAAGAUGCCUUUAUAGGCAAGGUUUUAGGGUAAUAGAAAUGCAACUAGUUUUGCACUUAAAACCUUUUGCAAUUUUCAUUUUUGCUUAGGCACUUUUAGUGUAAAAUAUAGAUUUUCACAUAAGUCCCAAUGACAGCUUCUGGGAAGCUUCAUAUUUCGACUAUAGAGAGAUUCCCUACUUAGAUUUUCUAAAUUAACCCUUGGACCUCAAUUUUUUUACCCUUAAAGCCUAUGGGUCAAGUUGACUUAAUGACUUAACUGAAUGAACGGGCUGCCUUUUUUUUUUUUUUUGGUAAAUGGGUCAGAAUCCAAAGUCCAAAUGACUCAAUUGCCAAUCAAAUCUUUAAGCAUAGAAUGACACAAAUACUGAAAUGGUUUUGACAAUUAGAAAUCUAGACUAAAUAACUUAUUAACUAGAAUUAACUAAAUUAAUAAAUCUAAAAUAUAAUUAAUAGAAUAAAUACACUAAUAAGACAAAAAUUUAAACUAACAUGCAUAAACAAACAAACUGGAGAAACUAAAAAAAUGAAGAAGAAUCGAGAUGAAGAUAAAGAAGCAGAAGAUAGAAAGAACAAAUGCAGGCAAAAAAUGAGGAAAACAUAACAAAGAAAAGGAAAAAUACCCAACAAUAUCUCGGACAGUAAGAAACGGAGACUGAGUCUUCAAAAUCUUCCAAUUUUUGGCCCAAUUCGAUAUUAGUCGUGUGUUCUUACCAAGAACACACGAAUAAAAUCAAAAUAGACCUAAAUCUUCAAAGAAAUCUCGAUUUGAAAGUGCUUUGGAAUUUUAGGGUCCCACAUUCGAUUCAAGAUUCGAGGAGUUCAGGUCUGAUUUGAGGGAAAAGAAGUAGAUAUUGCGGAAGAGGAAGUAAUUUAGGCUCUACGACGUUGAUUUGGGUUGGUUUAGGGGUGGUGCCGCCAACUGAGGCGGUGGGAAAUCAGGGUGGCAAUCUAGGGUUUGGAGUAAAGUAUCUGAAGAGAGGAGUUGAGAGAGAUGAGAU
This 1831-nucleotide long non-coding RNA is filed under the name Nicotiana benthamiana. Its description in RNAcentral is "long non-coding RNA (NBEN_LNC041895)". The record is from RNAcentral. Lineage: Eukaryota; Viridiplantae; Streptophyta; Magnoliopsida; Solanales; Solanaceae.